AAAAGCUAUGGAAGGAAAUGAAAUCACUGAAAGACAGAYUGGCACAAGACAUGGCUGUUUCAAUAAAGACAGGAGACACUGAGAGCAUGAAUGACCCGGUCAGUAAAACCAGACUGACUGAAAUGUACAAAAGUCUAAAGAUGAAGAAGUGGAUUGACAUGAAAGAUCUUCUGAAAUCCAAUAAAUCCAGUCCAGAGUUUACAAGGGCUUUGGUUCAGAAAACCUUUAAAGAAGCGGCGGAAGAAAUGAGAAGAAUAAAGCAGCAAAUAGA
Poecilia reticulata (guppy) is the source of this 271-nucleotide non-coding RNA. NCBI's taxonomy places the organism in Eukaryota, Metazoa, Chordata, Actinopteri, Cyprinodontiformes, Poeciliidae. The record is from RefSeq and is a predicted model, not a curated record.